This 736-nucleotide long non-coding RNA is filed under the name Androctonus crassicauda. Lineage: Eukaryota; Metazoa; Arthropoda; Arachnida; Scorpiones; Buthidae. The record is from RNAcentral.
CAAGUAAAAUGAACUUAAAUAUUUUUAAAUAUCAGUUGACAGAGGUAAUAGAUGAUCAUUUUAAUGCAAUUUGCUUAAUAUAAAUAACUUUUUUGAAAAGUGAAAUGUGUAGCCCUUGAAAAUGAUCCAACUUCAUUAUGACCUCUUUGUAGACCAAUUUGUUGAGAUCUGCAAAAUAAGUACCUAUAAUUACAAUGACUUUUCCAUUUGAUGAAAAUUUUUCUCCUGCCAAGUAUUUUUCAAAUUUACUGACAGAUAACAGUUGGAGGGGCCAAAUCUAUGAGACUACAGUUCGUAGGAAAUCAAUCCAAAGUCCACUUCUUAAAUUUUUGAAGAUGCAGUUCAAAAUGAAUGAGUCAGUGCAUUGUUAUGAUGAUAGCACCUUUUUCUUUGCCCAAACCUGAUUUUUUUUGUUUCAGUUAUUCCAAUAAGUUAACAUAAUACUCCUUAGGAUAUAGUCUUGCCCUUUGGGAGUCAGUCAUGAUGCCAUUUAUUUCCCAAAAAACCAGAGACUCUGUACUUUCCAUUAUUUGAAUUGUGUUUUAAUGCCUGCCGUAUAGUGAUGAACCCGUGUCUCAUUUGUAGUGAUAAAUCUCUUCAUAAAAUUACUUGAGUUCAUUGAAAAUCAAUUCAAAUGCUGUUGGGAAAUUUGGUGCCAAUUGUUUUUGUUCCAGAGCAUGUAAAUACAGAUAUCUCUCCAAUAACAUGGCUUCCUACAACACAGUUUUACUCUAAC